This is a long non-coding RNA of Neopsephotus bourkii (Bourke's parrot), 388 nucleotides long. RefSeq lists it as uncharacterized. The record is from RefSeq and is a predicted model, not a curated record. Lineage: Eukaryota; Metazoa; Chordata; Aves; Psittaciformes; Psittacidae. The transcript is spliced from 3 exons.
UUUUCCCUGUGGAAAUAUGUUCACCGGAUUGGAGUUAAACAGGAGAUACGGGGAUAUCCAACCUUUGGUCUCCUGGCAAGGGUUGGAUGUCCAGUUGGUGGGGAUAUCAUCCAACAGAAGAACAAAGGCAGUGACUGUGUGUAUGAAAGAGAAAAGCAGUAACUGGAGUAACUGCAGACUCAGGAGUUUGAAGAUGCACCUGCAAACAUAAAGAGAAUCUACUCUGUUUCCCAGAUGGUUGUAUAAGAGGACUUAGGAGACACUGAGAUCAGUCCUUCUCUGUCAUCGGAAUGUAGCAAAGUCAUUACACGAUAGAGGAGGUAAGAACAUCAAGUACAAACCUGUCCCUGAUCUUGCUUCUUCCUAUCAUCUGGCCCUGGCAAGUUCA